This 657-nucleotide long non-coding RNA is filed under the name Ananas comosus (pineapple). RNAcentral's name for it is "long non-coding RNA (ACOM_LNC041975)". The record is from RNAcentral. Lineage: Eukaryota; Viridiplantae; Streptophyta; Magnoliopsida; Poales; Bromeliaceae.
ACUUUAUCUUUAAAAUAAUUUAUACUUGUAACUGAUGACACUUUUGAUUUGUAUUCAUCUUUUUAUUUUUUAUUUUUUAUUUUUUAUUUUUUUAUAAUACUUUUUAUUAUACAUUUACUGUUUUAUUAUUUUUUUUUUCUUCGUUGCUGCUUCCUUCUUCGUUUUCUCUUACAAAUCAACCCACCGGAACAUGCGGAUCCUUACACUCUGUUUGGUUGGGGGUUAAAGGGGGGAUAAGAGGGUUAUCCCAGUUAUCCCCCUCUUUAACCCCAAACAAGAUUUUAGGGGUUAGCUAACCCCACUUCCCCCCAAGAAUAGGGGUGGAUUAAAGUUAAUCCCACCCCUAUUUAAUUUUUAAUAUAAUUUUAAAAUUUUAAUUUUAAAUAAAAAAUUUAAAAAAUUUUUAAUUUGCAAUCUUAAAAUUAAUAUUAAUAUUUUUAAAUUUUAAAUUUUAAAUUUUAAAUUUUAAAUUUUAAAUUUUAAAUUUUAAAUUUUAAUUUUAAUUAUUUAAAAUUUAAAUUUGACAUUUUAUAUUUGAAAAUUUGAAAAUGUUUAAUUUGUAAUAUUAAAAGUAAUAUUUAUAUUUUUAAAUUUUAAUUUUUAAAUUUAAUUUUUAAUUUUUAAAUUUUAAAUUUUAAUUUUUAAUUUUUAAAUUAU